RNAcentral lists this unclassified non-coding RNA (312 nucleotides) under Yarrowia lipolytica. The record is from RNAcentral. Lineage: Eukaryota; Fungi; Ascomycota; Dipodascomycetes; Dipodascales.
CGAGCUACCCCAACUUCAACUCCCCGAUAGCGCAAAGACUCAAACACGACACACACGAAUCAUAUUCAUGAUCCCUAUCCGGUAACGCCGUCUACGAUCUUUUAUGAGAACAAACUAAACCAACCUCGAGUCUGGAUAAGACAUGGAACGAUUGAUAUGAUUUCUUGAUCUGUUAGCCAUGAUUCACUACCACGAGACCACGACAAUGACAUGAACUAGACGAAGCGUCGACAAACCAACUGACAGCGCCUCGCAGCGCACACCACAAUGACUCAGAAGUGUAUGAUUUAUUGAACGCCAAUAACCCGGCUU